UCGUGGAGUGAUUUGUCUGGUUAAUUCCCUAAACGAACGAGACCUUAGCCUACUAGUUAGUAUUGAUGGAUCUUCUUCCUACAACUACUUCCUAGAGGGACAAUGUGCGGAAGCACACGGAAGCUUAAGGCAAUAACA
This 138-nucleotide ribosomal RNA is filed under the name uncultured eukaryote. Its description in RNAcentral is "partial 18S ribosomal RNA". It matches the Rfam family "Eukaryotic small subunit ribosomal RNA", at positions 1299 to 1458 of the family's 1831-position model. The record is from RNAcentral.